Molecule: ribosomal RNA, 432 nt
Filed under: uncultured bacterium
Lineage: Bacteria
Description: partial 16S ribosomal RNA
Rfam family: Bacterial small subunit ribosomal RNA
Source: RNAcentral
ACGAACGCUGGCGGCAUGCCUAACACAUGCCAGUCGAACGCGACCUUCGGGUCUAGUGGCGCACGGGUGCGUAACGCGUGGGAACCUGCCCUUAGGUUCGGAAUAACUCCCCGAAAGGGGUGCUAAUACCGGAUAAUGUCUUCGGACCAAAGAUUUAUCGCCUUUGGAUGGGCCCGCGUUGGAUUAGCUAGUUGGUAGGGUAAAAGCCUACCAAGGCGUCGAUCCAUAGCUGGUCUGAGAGGAUGAUCAGCCACACUGGGACUGAGACACGGCCCAGACUCCUACGGGAGGCAGCAGUGGGGAAUAUUGGACAAUGGGCGAAAGCCUGAUCCAGCAAUGCCGCGUGAGUGAUGAAGGCCUUAGGGUUGUAAAGCUCUUUUACCCGGGAUGAUAAUGACAGUACCGGGAGAAUAAGCUCCGGCUAACUCCGUG